CCCGGGCCUCGCGACUGGCGCUAAAGAUGGGUAUCCAUCAGGGAACGAGGCUGGCCAAACGGCCAUGUCGAGCCGCGCGCCUGGGUGAUCCAU
RNAcentral lists this non-coding RNA (93 nucleotides) under Sphingopyxis bauzanensis. RNAcentral's name for it is "ZTP sequence". It matches the Rfam family "ZMP/ZTP riboswitch aptamer (pfl RNA motif)". From Rfam's summary of the family: Previously known as pfl RNA. ZMP is also known as AICAR. The record is from Rfam by way of RNAcentral. Lineage: Bacteria; Pseudomonadati; Pseudomonadota; Alphaproteobacteria; Sphingomonadales; Sphingopyxidaceae.